Molecule: ribosomal RNA, 465 nt
Filed under: Vreelandella stevensii
Lineage: Bacteria; Pseudomonadati; Pseudomonadota; Gammaproteobacteria; Oceanospirillales; Halomonadaceae
Description: partial 16S ribosomal RNA
Rfam family: Bacterial small subunit ribosomal RNA
Source: RNAcentral
CCUACGGGGGGCUGCAGUGGGGAAUAUUGGACAAUGGGGGCAGCCCUGAUCCAGCCAUGCCGCGUGUGUGAAGAAGGCCCUCGGGUUGUAAAGCACUUUCAGUGAGGAAGAACGCCUGGUGGUUAAUACCCAUCAGGAAAGACAUCACUCACAGAAGAAGCACCGGCUAACUCCGUGCCAGCAGCCGCGGUAAUACGGAGGGUGCGAGCGUUAAUCGGAAUUACUGGGCGUAAAGCGCGCGUAGGUGGCUUGAUAAGCCGGUUGUGAAAGCCCCGGGCUCAACCUGGGAACGGCAUCCGGAACUGUCAAGCUAGAGUGCAGGAGAGGAAGGUAGAAUUCCCGGUGUAGCGGUGAAAUGCGUAGAGAUCGGGAGGAAUACCAGUGGCGAAGGCGGCCUUCUGGACUGACACUGACACUGAGGUGCGAAAGCGUGGGUAGCAAACAGGAUUAGAUACCCGUGUAGUC